GACGAACGCUGGCGGCGUGCUUAACACAUGCAAGUCGAACGGGAACCUUUAUUUCGGUAAAGGUGAGAGUGGCAAACGGGUGAGUAACACGUAGGCAACCUGCCGACAGGAUGGGGACAACAUUCCGAAAGGAAUGCUAAUACCGAAUGAAGUCACCGGAGGGCAUCCUCUGGUGAUGAAAGAUGGCCUCUGAAUAUGCUAUCACCUGUCGAUGGGCCUGCGUCUGAUUAGCCAGUUGGCGGGGUAACGGCCCACCAAAGCGACGAUCAGUAGCCGGUCUGAGAGGAUGAACGGCCACAUUGGGACUGAGACACGGCCCAGACUCCUACGGGAGGCAGCAGUGGGGAAUCUUCCACAAUGGGCGAAAGCCUGAUGGAGCAACGCCGCGUGAGUGAAGAAGGUCUUCGGAUCGUAAAGCUCUGUUGCACGGGACGAAAACCGAGCUUGAGAAUAUUGAG
This 458-nucleotide ribosomal RNA is filed under the name Selenomonas sputigena. RNAcentral's name for it is "bacterial SSU rRNA". It matches the Rfam family "Bacterial small subunit ribosomal RNA", at positions 28 to 469 of the family's 1533-position model. The record is from RNAcentral. Lineage: Bacteria; Bacillati; Bacillota; Negativicutes; Selenomonadales; Selenomonadaceae.